RNAcentral lists this ribosomal RNA (468 nucleotides) under uncultured bacterium. Its description in RNAcentral is "partial 16S ribosomal RNA". It matches the Rfam family "Bacterial small subunit ribosomal RNA", at positions 28 to 507 of the family's 1533-position model. The record is from RNAcentral.
GACGAACGCUGGCGGCGUGCUUAACACAUGCAAGUCGAACGGAAAGGCCCUGCUUUUGUGGGGUGCUCGAGUGGCGAACGGGUGAGUAACACGUGAGUAACCUGCCCUUGACUUUGGGAUAACUUCAGGAAACUGGGGCUAAUACCGGGUAGGAGCUCCUGCUGCAUGGUGGGGGUUGGAAAGUUUCGGCGGUUGGGGAUGGACUCGCGGCUUAUCAGCUUGUUGGUGGGGUAGUGGCCUACCAAGGCUUUGACGGGUAGCCGGCCUGAGAGGGUGACCGGCCACAUUGGGACUGAGAUACGGCCCAGACUCCUACGGGAGGCAGCAGUGGGGAAUAUUGCACAAUGGGCGGAAGCCUGAUGCAGCAACGCCGCGUGCGGGAUGACGGCCUUCGGGUUGUAAACCGCUUUCGCCUGUGACGAAGCGUGAGUGACGGUAAUGGGUAAAGAAGCACCGGCUAACUACGUG